Molecule: ribosomal RNA, 492 nt
Filed under: uncultured bacterium
Lineage: Bacteria
Description: partial 16S ribosomal RNA
Rfam family: Bacterial small subunit ribosomal RNA
Source: RNAcentral
AGUGAACGCUGGCGGUAGGCCUAACACAUGCAAGUCGAACGGCAGCACAGUAAGAGCUUGCUCUUACGGGUGGCGAGUGGCGGACGGGUGAGGAAUACAUCGGAAUCUACUUUUUCGUGGGGGAUAACGUAGGGAAACUUACGCUAAUACCGCAUACGACCUACGGGUGAAAGCAGGGGAUCUUCGGACCUUGCGCGAUUGAAUGGGCCGAUGUCGGAUUAGCUAGUUGGCGGGGUAAAGGCCCACCAAGGCGACGAUCCGUAGCUGGUCUGAGAGGAUGAUCAGCCACACUGGAACUGAGACACGGUCCAGACUCCUACGGGAGGCAGCAGUGGGGAAUAUUGGACAAUGGGCGCAAGCCUGAUCCAGCCAUACCGCGUGGGUGAAGAAGGCCUUCGGGUUGUAAAGCCCUUUUGUUGGGAAAGAAAAGCAGCAGGUUAAUACCCAGCUGUUCUGACGGUACCCAAAGAAUAAGCACCGGCUAACUUCGUG